This 82-nucleotide Y RNA is filed under the name Carlito syrichta (Philippine tarsier). Its description in RNAcentral is "Y RNA (ENSTSYG00000023834.2)". It matches the Rfam family "Y RNA". From Rfam's summary of the family: Y RNAs are components of the Ro ribonucleoprotein particle (Ro RNP), in association with Ro60 and La proteins. The Y RNAs and Ro60 and La proteins are well conserved, but the function of the Ro RNP is not known. Lineage: Eukaryota; Metazoa; Chordata; Mammalia; Primates; Tarsiidae. The record is from Rfam by way of RNAcentral.
GGCUGAUCUGAAGGCUGUAAAUUAUCUCAAUUGACAGUUCAGUCUUUCCCUUCCUUUCACCACUGUACUUGACUAGUCUAAA